RNAcentral lists this ribosomal RNA (253 nucleotides) under uncultured bacterium. RNAcentral describes it as "partial 16S ribosomal RNA". It matches the Rfam family "Bacterial small subunit ribosomal RNA", at positions 524 to 776 of the family's 1533-position model. The record is from RNAcentral.
GACAGAGGCCCCAAGCGUUAGGCGGAAUCACUGGGCUUAAAGCGUGUGUAGGCGGACUUCUAAGUACCUUGUGAAAUCCCACGGCUUAACCGUGGAACUGCUUGGUAUACUGGUUGUCUUGGGCCAUCUAGGGGCUACUGGAACAAACGGUGGAGCGGUAAAAUGCGUAGAUAUCGUUUGGAACGCCAAUGGUGAAAACAAGUAGCUGGGGAUGUGCCGACGCUGAGACACGAAAGCCAGGGGAGCGAACGGG